GAUGAACGCUGACAGAAUGCUUAACACAUGCAAGUCAACUUGAAUUUGGGUUUUUUAACUUAGAUUUGGGUGGCGGACGGGUGAGUAACGCGUAAAGAACUUGCCUCACAGCUAGGGACAACAUUUGGAAACGAAUGCUAAUACCUGAUAUUAUGAUUAUAAGGCAUCUUAGAAUUAUGAAAGCUAUAUGCGCUGUGAGAGAGCUUUGCGUCCCAUUAGCUAGUUGGAGAGGUAACGGCUCACCAAGGCGAUGAUGGGUAGCCGGCCUGAGAGGGUGAACGGCCACAAGGGGACUGAGACACGGCCCUUACUCCUACGGGAGGCAGCAGUGGGGAAUAUUGGACAAUGGACCAAGAGUCUGAUCCAGCAAUUCUGUGUGCACGAUGACGUUUUUCGGAAUGUAAAGUGCUUUCAGUUGGGAAGAAAAAAAUGACGGUACCAACAGAAGAAGUGACGGCUAAAUACGU
This 467-nucleotide ribosomal RNA is filed under the name uncultured bacterium. RNAcentral describes it as "partial 16S ribosomal RNA". It matches the Rfam family "Bacterial small subunit ribosomal RNA", at positions 28 to 506 of the family's 1533-position model. The record is from RNAcentral.